Long non-coding RNA from Leucoraja erinaceus (little skate), 253 nucleotides. RefSeq lists it as uncharacterized. NCBI's taxonomy places the organism in Eukaryota, Metazoa, Chordata, Chondrichthyes, Rajiformes, Rajidae. The record is from RefSeq and is a predicted model, not a curated record. The transcript has 2 exons.
CUAUAAAACCCGGAAGCGUCCCGCUUCAACUCACUUUCUUGCCGGCCACGAAGUGAAAGGGUCACGGCGCUCUGAGCUGCAGCUCUGCUCCCAGGAAAUAGUCAUCAAGAGGCAGUGAACAGCAGAACACAACAAGACGCAACAAGACACAACAAGUAAAAACUUAAUAAAUCUCAUCUUUAAAAUUUAAAUUGUUCUUAUAUCUUAAGUCAUUCACAUUUUAAACUUUAAUAAAACCUUUUUGCACUUUUAA